GCAGGAAGGAGAAGAGUUCGUACUAGCCCAGGCUAGACCUUGUCUCAAAAGAGAAAGUGUGGGAAAGAUGUGGAAGAAGGUGUAUAAUCCACAAUGGAAAACUCUUUAAUUAGGGAUUGUUAAAAACACUGAUUUCUUGUCUGUGUAUGUGAACGUAUGCAUGCACUUGUGCCCUGGUAUGCGUGUCACAUUCAUGGGUGCCCUAGUGCCUGUGGAGUUCAGAACGGGGCAUUGUAUCCCCCUGGGUUGGAGUUAAAGAUGGUUGUGGUCCGACACGUAGGUGCUGGGAACUGAACCCAGGUCGUCUGGCAGAACAGUAAGUCUCUUAACUGCUGAGCCAUUCUCUUUAAGGGCAGGGAGGGUCUCACUGUGCGGUUGGUAAGUAGAAAAACCUGAUUACAGAUAUAAUUGGAUCUGUCGUGUAUAUAGGUACAAAGUGAAUUAGCUUCAGCAAACACGGAUGAUGAGGAUGGGGAGGAAGAUGACGACGAUGAUGACGAUGACGACGACGAGGAUGACGAUGAACAAGAAGAAAACUUAGAGGAACAGAACCCGGGGCUCUCUAAGAAGAAGGCGAGAGCUUCCCUGUCCGACCUGUCAAGCCUUGAAGAGGUGGAAGGGAUGAGCGUGCGCCAGCUGAAGGAAAUCCUGGCUCGGAAUUUUGUCAACUAUUCUGGCUGCUGUGAAAAGUGGGAGCUGGUGGAGAAAGUCAACCGGCUGUACAAGGAGAAUGAGGAAAACCAAAAGUCAU
This 751-nucleotide long non-coding RNA is filed under the name Rattus norvegicus (Norway rat). Its description in RNAcentral is "long non-coding RNA NONRATT007982". Lineage: Eukaryota; Metazoa; Chordata; Mammalia; Rodentia; Muridae. The record is from RNAcentral.